Molecule: long non-coding RNA, 774 nt
Filed under: Sorghum bicolor (sorghum)
Lineage: Eukaryota; Viridiplantae; Streptophyta; Magnoliopsida; Poales; Poaceae
Description: long non-coding RNA (SBIC_LNC006198)
Source: RNAcentral
GCCAUUUCUGCAAAUUUAAUCAAGUGUUAAAACUUAGACAAUAUUCGAUACAACAACUAAGAUAAAUUAUAUCAUAUAAAUUAUAUAAUACAAAAGAUAAAUUAUAAAAUAUAAAUUAUACAUCUCAUCUCAAUAUCUAUCCCUACUAACUAAUUACAACAUAGGAUAAAUUAUAUCAUAUAAAUUAUAUAAUACAAAAGAUAAAUUAUAAAAUACAAAUUAUACAUCUCAUCUCAAUAUCUAUCCCCACAAACUAAUUACAACACAUAAUAAAUUAUAUCAUAUAAAUUAUAUAAUACAAAAGAUAAACUAUAAAAUAAAAAUUAUACAUCUCAUCUCAAUAUCUAUCCCCACAAACUAAUUACAACACAUGAUAAAUUAUAUCAUAUAAAUUAUUUAAUACAAAAGAUAAAUUAUAAAAUAGAAAUUAUACAUCUCAUCUCAAUAUCUAUCCCCACAAACUAAUUACAACACAUGAUAAAUUAUAUCAGAUAAAUUAUAUAAUACAAAAGAUAAAUUAUAAAAUAGAAAUUAUACAUCUCAUCUCAAUAUCUAUCCCUACUAACUAAUUACAACACAUGAUAAAUUAUAUCAUAUAAAUUAUAUAAUAUAAAAGAUAAAUUAUAAAAUAGAAAUUAUACAUCUCAUCUCAAUAUCUAUCCCCACAAACUAAUUACAACACAUGAUAAAUUAUAUCAUAUAAAUUAUAUAAUACAAAAGAUAAAUUAUAAAAUAGAAAUUAUACAUCUCAUCUCAAUAUCUAUCCCCACAAAC